Molecule: ribosomal RNA, 468 nt
Filed under: uncultured bacterium
Lineage: Bacteria
Description: partial 16S ribosomal RNA
Rfam family: Bacterial small subunit ribosomal RNA
Source: RNAcentral
GACGAACGCUGGCGGCGUGCUUAACACAUGCAAGUCGAACGGAAAGGCCCUGCUUUUGUGGGGUGCUCGAGUGGCGAACGGGUGAGUAACACGUGAGUAACCUGCCCUUGACUUUGGGAUAACUUCAGGAAACUGGGGCUAAUACCGGAUAGGAGCUCCUGCUGCAUGGUGGGGGUUGGAAAGUUUCGGCGGUUGGGGAUGGACUCGCGGCUUAUCAGCUUGUUAGUGGGGUAGUGGCUUACCAAGGCUUUGACGGGUAGCCGGCCUGAGAGGGUGACCGGCCACAUUGGGACUGAGAUACGGCCCAGACUCCUACGGGAGGCAGCAGUGGGGAAUAUUGCACAAUGGGCGGAAGCCUGAUGCAGCAACGCCGCGUGCGGGAUGGCGGCCUUCGGGUUGUAAACCGCUUUCGCCUGUGACGAAGCGUGAGUGACGGUAAUGGGUAAAGAAGCACCGGCUAACUACGUG